CCCGCUGAACUUAAGCAUAUCAAUAAGCGGAGGAAAAGAAACUAACAAGGAUUCCCCUAGUAACUGCGAGUGAAGAGGGAAAAGCUCAAAUUUGAAAUCUGGCAGGUCUUGUAUCUGUCCGAGUUGUAGUUUAGAGAAGUGCUAUCCGCGUCGGGCCUGUGCAUAAGUUUCUUGGAACAGAACAUCAUGGAGGGUGAUAAUCCCGUCUUUGGCACAGUGUCACCGGGGCUUUUGUGAUGCACCCUCGAAGAGUCGAGUUGUUUGGGAAUGCAGCUCUAAAUGGGUGGUAAAUUCCAUCUAAAGCUAAAUAUUGGCGAGAGACCGAUAGCGAACAAGUACCGUGAGGGAAAGAUGAAAAGAACUUUGAAAAGAGAGUUAAACAGUACGUGAAAUUGUUGAAAGGGAAACGCUUGAAGUCAGACACGUCUUGCAGAGAUCAACUUGACCUUGUGUUGAGUGUAUCCUCCGUCGAGAUGGGUCAGCAUCAAUUUUGAUUGCUGGAUAAAGGUCUUGGGAAUGUGGCAUCUUUCGGGAUGUGUUAUAGCCCAUUUCUUAUACAGUGGUUGGGAUUGAGGAACUCAGUGUGCUUUGGGGCUUUUUGCCUACAUUUACACGCUUAGGAUGCUGGCAUAAUGGCUUUAAUCGACCCGUCUUGAAACACGG
This 663-nucleotide ribosomal RNA is filed under the name uncultured fungus. RNAcentral's name for it is "eukaryotic LSU rRNA". It matches the Rfam family "Eukaryotic large subunit ribosomal RNA", at positions 24 to 664 of the family's 3401-position model. The record is from RNAcentral. Lineage: Eukaryota; Fungi.